UAGCGCGCGCGCUUUGGGAGCGCGAGGUCGCCGGUUCAAGUCCGGCAUCCCCGA
Molecule: transfer RNA, 54 nt
Filed under: bacterium G20
Lineage: Bacteria
Rfam family: tRNA
About the family: Transfer RNA (tRNA) molecules are approximately 80 nucleotides in length. Their secondary structure includes four short double-helical elements and three loops (D, anti-codon, and T loops). Further hydrogen bonds mediate the characteristic L-shaped molecular structure. tRNAs have two regions of fundamental functional importance: the anti-codon, which is responsible for specific mRNA codon recognition, and the 3' end, to which the tRNAs corresponding amino acid is attached (by aminoacyl-tRNA synthetases). tRNAs cope with the degeneracy of the genetic code in two manners: having more than one tRNA (with a specific anti-codon) for a particular amino acid; and 'wobble' base-pairing, i.e. permitting non-standard base-pairing at the 3rd anti-codon position.
Source: Rfam by way of RNAcentral